UAUUCCUCAUGUUCUCUGAAAGUUCGAAGUUCUCACCUUUAAUUUUUUAGAAAAAGUUCUUUAAUUGCUUAUUUGAUGCUCAUAAUAUUUGUUUUUCUGAAUAAAAUUUGCUAAUUUUUGUCUUUGAAAUCAUUAUAGAUUCUGUUUUGUGUUUGUUGUUUUAUUCAUUGUUUUUUUGUUUGAUACCUGUUUGUUUGUUGACUGCUGCAGGGAACUGAUGCACAUAGUUUUUG
RNAcentral lists this unclassified non-coding RNA (233 nucleotides) under Hevea brasiliensis (rubber tree). The record is from RNAcentral. Lineage: Eukaryota; Viridiplantae; Streptophyta; Magnoliopsida; Malpighiales; Euphorbiaceae.